UGAAAGGUUGUGGGAAAACAUCUGGUUGAUGACGCCAUCACGUCAAUGAGUACCUCUUCGUGCUGGAGCUACAAUGUUAUUUCAUCCGUACUAAUAGCAGUGCAGUACGAUAACAAACAAAAAAGUUCAGAUACAAUAUUAUUUAUAUCUAGCAUAUGUGCGCAUUGUAAUAGACCCAUAAAUAAUAUCUGUAAACGCUGUCACAAGCUGUUAAGACGCUGAUUACGAGGUACGUAUGGGCCAAAAGCACGCACUGCAACCAGUUUAACAGGAACAGCACCCAGGACCCAAUGCUGUUUACAGGCUCCAUGAGGAAGAACUUGGACCCUUUCAACCAUCACACUGAUGAAGACCUGUGGAAGGCUCUGGAGGAGGCUAGUAUCCAAUCAGCCUAGUAUCCAAUCAGCACACUCCAAAAAUGCGUGCAGAGUUUCCGGACCACAACGGAGAAGUUCCUUUUCAAUUUAUCAAUUCAGUUUUAAUUUCAAUUCAGAUUUUGAAAAUGACAGCACCACAGAGGGAUGGAACACUCAUCCUCCAGUCUUCAUGAGAGUUUAACCUUCACCUUAACUUGCUGAGCUCUGUCAAACGCUUGGAAAGGCUCUAGUUGUAAGAUGUAUUUAUUGUUCAAACUACAGGGGAGAGAAAUGAAAAACUGUCGAGACAAAAGUGGGAUUGAAUCCUUCAAUCUCAGAUUGUUGAGUCAGUAAUUUAUCUCAGUGAGCUAUUCCUAAUUAAUCAAUUAAGUAAUCAACAAAUAAUACAUUAAUCAACCAAUUAACAGCUCAAUUAGCAGAUCAAUCAAUCAACCAAUAAAUCAAUACAUUUUAUUUGUCACAUGAAAUCAAUUAGUCUACAAGAACAUAGUUUGAACAACAAAUAAUAGAAUGGAAACUUGAAAUGCCAGUUUCAAGAAUAGCUCACUGAGAUAAGCUAUUGACUCAACCAUCUGAGGUUGAAGGAUCAAAUC
This is a long non-coding RNA of Perca flavescens (yellow perch), 970 nucleotides long. RefSeq lists it as uncharacterized. The record is from RefSeq and is a predicted model, not a curated record. The transcript is spliced from 3 exons. Lineage: Eukaryota; Metazoa; Chordata; Actinopteri; Perciformes; Percidae.